Molecule: ribosomal RNA, 425 nt
Filed under: uncultured bacterium
Lineage: Bacteria
Description: bacterial SSU rRNA
Rfam family: Bacterial small subunit ribosomal RNA
Source: RNAcentral
GUUAGGAAUAUUGGACAAUGGGCGCAAGCCUGAUCCAGCCAUGCCGCGUGAGUGAUGAAGGCCUUCGGGUUGUAAAGCUCUUUAGCCGAUGAUUAUAAUGACUGUAGUCGGAAAAUAAGCCCCGGCUAACUUCGUGCCAGCAGCCGCGGUAAUACGAAGGGGGCGAGCGUUAUUCGGAAUCACUGGGCGUAAAGCGUGCGUAGGCGGCUUUGCAAGUUGGGAGUGAAAGCCCAGGGCUCAACCCUGGAAUUGCUCUCAAAACUGCAAGGCUCGAAUGCGGGAGAGGAUAGCGGAAUUGUCAGUGUAGCAGUGAAAUGCGUAGAUAUUGACAGGAACACCAGUGGCGUAAGCGGCUAUCUGGACCGAUAUUGACGCUGAGGCACGAAAGCGUGGGGAUCAAACAGGAUUAGAAACCCGAGUAGUCC